UCAAUAGCGAGUUUGAUCCUGGCUCAGGACGAACGCUGGCGGCGCGCCUAAUGCAUGCAAGUCGAACGGUCCUCUCCACCUUCGGGUGGUUAGGGUAGUGGCAAACGGCUGAGUAACGCGUAAGGAACCUGACCCCGGGAGGGGGAUAACCCAUCGAAAGGUGCGCUAAUACCCCGUACGCUGCCCCGAUUCAUUCGGGGUAGGAUAGCUCCGAUUCGUCGUGGCGCCCGGGGAGGGUCUUGCGUCCUAUCAGGUUGUUGGUGAGGUAACGGCCCACCAAGCUUAUGAUCGAUAGGGGCCUUGAGAGAGGUAACCUCGAGAAGGGCACUGAGAUACUGGCCCUAGCCCUACGGGGUGCAGCAGCAGGGGAUUUUGCGCAAUGGGCUAAAGCCUGACGCAGCGACGCCGCGUGGGGGAAGAAGGUCUUCGGGCUGUAAACCCCUUUUCUGGGGGAAGAGCAAGGACGGUACCCCAGGAAUAAGCCCCGGCUAACUACGUGCCAGCAGCCGCGGUAAUACGUAGGGGGCGAGCGUUAUCCGGAUUUACUGGGCGUAAAGGGCGUGUAGGCGGUUUGGCAAGUCGGUCAUGAAAGCUCCCGGCUCAACUGGGAGAGGUUGUUCGAUACUGCUAGACUAGAGGGCAAGAGAGGGAGGUGGAAUUCCCGGUGUAGUGGUGAAAUGCGUAGAUAUCGGGAGGAACACCAGUGGCGAAGGCGGCCCUCUGGGCUGUACCUGACGCUGAGGCGCGAAAGCGUGGGGAGCGAACCGGAUUAGAUACCCGGGUAGUCCACGCCCUAAACUAUGGAUGCUGGGUAUGAGGGGUAUCGAACCCCCUCGUGCCGAAGCUAACGCGUUAAGCAU
Molecule: ribosomal RNA, 860 nt
Filed under: Dehalococcoidia bacterium
Lineage: Bacteria; Bacillati; Chloroflexota; Dehalococcoidia
Description: bacterial SSU rRNA
Rfam family: Bacterial small subunit ribosomal RNA
Source: RNAcentral